This 30-nucleotide non-coding RNA is filed under the name Cricetulus griseus (Chinese hamster). Lineage: Eukaryota; Metazoa; Chordata; Mammalia; Rodentia; Cricetidae. The record is from RNAcentral.
UAUAGAGCACUGGGUCAGAUUCAUACAUGC